GGAGCCUUAUCUCAGAAUGAAGGUUGAAUUGUGAACCUGAUCUUCCCCGUAUCCACAAGUGAAUUACGAGCAUGCUCUUCGUGUGUCAAGUUAUGAGUUCCACGUCAUUUACAAAAGACGACAAACCAUGUUGUACAAUCGGCUACCUCUUACCUUUUAAUGCAAUAUCUAUGCUUUAAUGAAAAAAAAAAGUUAGGAAAUGUGAAAUCUGGUACAAUGAAAAAAAUUCUCUUAUUUUUGCAUUAUCAUUAUUAUGAAGAGACCAUCUCUCACUUAAGAGAAAGCUCAAACAUAUCUUUAUUCUUCUCUUCCACAUUAGCAAUUAUCCACCUAUCAUCGUUAAAGAAAAAGGUUGACUUCACCUCAUUUUACAAGCCCGUAAGAGCAUAUACAAUAAUCGAUAAGACUAUUCUCUUAUGUGUUUCAUGACAUCUAGAAAAAAAAACUAUCUUUAAAUUUUACUCCCUCCGAUCCAUAAAAAAUAUCUUUCAAUUAGUACAAAAUUUAUACUAACUUAAUACAAAAUGUGUAUCGGACGGAGUAGUUGUUUGUGAGUGCGCACCCAAUAGUGCAAGGAGAUGGAUCUAGGAACCCACAUGUCAGUAGCUCCAUGUUACCCUUAGGCACGUCAUGGAUCCAUCGCAACAACCUGCCACACCUGAAGACAACAUGUCUGUCAACCAAGAUUUUGGUUAUCAUCCGGUAACCACAUUUCCAAGACUGCCCUCUAUCUCCCCCCAGAAAAUGGAUUAAAAGAAAUCUUUUUUAAAAAAAAAUGAAUUUAAACCAUGAAUUAACGAACCUAUGGUUGUAUUUGCAGAAUUAAGAGAUAGCUCCGUGAAUUGUAUUAUUGUUGCAUUUGCAGAAUUACAUAUGUGUAGUACAUAAUCAUCUUCGUAACAGAAAAUUCUGAAUUCAAAAUUUGAUUAAAAAUCAUCCGGUAAACGGUCAGGAUUUUUCAGAUAUACCCUCGAUCGUUACCGCAAAUCCAGGUCUAAAAAAAAAUAUCCAAAGAGUUGACUACUCAGUAC
Molecule: long non-coding RNA, 1031 nt
Filed under: Brachypodium distachyon (stiff brome)
Lineage: Eukaryota; Viridiplantae; Streptophyta; Magnoliopsida; Poales; Poaceae
Description: long non-coding RNA (BDIS_LNC005269)
Source: RNAcentral